RNAcentral lists this transfer RNA (127 nucleotides) under Thermococcus paralvinellae. RNAcentral describes it as "tRNA-Und (NNN) (tRNA-Und-NNN-1-1)". The record is from RNAcentral. Lineage: Archaea; Methanobacteriati; Methanobacteriota; Thermococci; Thermococcales; Thermococcaceae.
GGGUUUGUAGAGGGGAACAAGCCUUCUGCUGGGUCUAUUAGCUCAAUAGCCGAUGACAAACUCUCUAAAUUCUCCAAAAACCGCUUUCGAGCCCGCGCCCCGGGUUCAAAUCCCGGCCGGGGCACCA